UACGAAGGGGGCAAGCAUUGUUCGGAAUUACUGGGCGUAAAGGGUGCGUAGGCGGAUCGAUCAGUCAGGUGUGAAAGCCCAAGGCUCAACCUUGGAAUUGCAUUUGAUACUGUCAGUCUAGAAUUGUGGAGAGGAGUAUGGAAUUCCCAGUGUAGAGGUGAAAUUCGUAGAUAUUGGGAAGAACACCGGUGGCGAAGGCGGCUCUCUGGACCGAGACUGACGCUGAGGCGCGAAAGCGUGGGGAGCAAACAGG
RNAcentral lists this ribosomal RNA (253 nucleotides) under uncultured bacterium. RNAcentral describes it as "partial 16S ribosomal RNA". It matches the Rfam family "Bacterial small subunit ribosomal RNA", at positions 524 to 776 of the family's 1533-position model. The record is from RNAcentral.